UGGGGAAUAUUGGACAAUGGGGGCAACCCUGAUCCAGCAAUGCCGCGUGUGUGAAGAAGGUCUUCGGAUUGUAAAGCACUUUCGACGGGGACGAUGAUGACGGUACCCGUAGAAGAAGCCCCGGCUAACUUCGUGCCAGCAGCCGCGGUAAUACGAAGGGGGCUAGCGUUGCUCGGAAUGACUGGGCGUAAAGGGCGUGUAGGCGGUUUACACAGUCAGAUGUGAAAUCCCCGGGCUUAACCUGGGAGCUGCAUUUGAUACGUGUAGACUAGAGUGUGAGAGAGGGUUGUGGAAUUCCCAGUGUAGAGGUGAAAUUCGUAGAUAUUGGGAAGAACACCGGUGGCGAAGGCGGCAACCUGGCUCAUGACUGACGCUGAGGCGCGAAAGCGUGGGGAGCAAACAGGUU
Molecule: ribosomal RNA, 406 nt
Filed under: uncultured bacterium
Lineage: Bacteria
Description: partial 16S ribosomal RNA
Rfam family: Bacterial small subunit ribosomal RNA
Source: RNAcentral